CGCCAGCCACACGGGAAUCUGAGGAACACGUCCCGACUCUACGGGAGGCAGGCAGCAAGAAUUCUUCCGCAAUUGGGCGAAAGCCUGACGGAGGCAACGCCCGCGUGUGGGAUGACGCCUUCGGGGGUGUAAACCACUUUUCUCAGGGAAGAAGCACUGACGGUACCUGAGAAGAAGGACCGGCUAACUACGUGCCAGCAGCCGCGGUAAUACGUAGGGUCCGAGCGUUGUCCGGAGUUACUGGGCGUAAAGCGCACGUAGGCGGCCUGUUAAGUGAGUAGUGAAAUCUCCAGCGCUCAACGCGGAAAUAGCUUCUCAUACUGGCAGGCUUGAGGGAUGCAGAGGUAAGUGGAAUUCCCGGUGUAACGGUGACAUGUGUUGAUAUCGGGAGGAACACCCAUGGCGAAGGCAGCUUACUGGGCAUUUCCUGACGCUGAGGUGCGAAAGCGUGGGUAGCAAACAGAAUUAGAUACUCUGGUAGUCCACGCCCUAAACGAUGGAUACUAGGCGUAAGAGGUAUCGACCCCUCUUGUGCCGCAGCUAACGCAUUAAGUAUCCCGCCUGGGGAGUACGGCCGCAAGGUUGAAACUCAAAUGAAUUGACGGGGACCCGCACAAGCGGUGGAGCAUGUGGAUUAAUUCGAUACUAACCGAAGAACCUUACCUAGGC
Molecule: ribosomal RNA, 669 nt
Filed under: uncultured bacterium
Lineage: Bacteria
Description: partial 16S ribosomal RNA
Rfam family: Bacterial small subunit ribosomal RNA
Source: RNAcentral